AAAGGUGAAAAGGACCCCGGGAGGGGAGUGAAAGAGAACCUGAAACCUUGUGCUUACAAGCAGUCAAAGCACGUUAACGUGUGAUGACGUACUUUUUGUAGAACGGUCCGGCGAGUUAUAGUAACGAGCAAGCUUAAGGUAUUGAGUACCGGAGGCGAAGCGAGAGCGAGUCUGAAUAGGGCGUAAAGUUCGUUGCCAUAGACCCGAAACCGGGUGACCUAUCCAUGAGCAGGCUGAAGUGAGAGUAAAAUCUCAUGGAGGGCCGAACCGACCCCCGUUGCAAUGGUGGCGGAUGACUUGUGGAUAGCGGAGAAAUUCCAAUCGAACUCGGAGAUAGCUGGUUCUCCCCGAAAUAGCUUUAGGGCUAGCGUUAUGUUAGAUUACCGGAGGUAAAGCACUGAAUGGUGGCGGGGCCGAUAAGGUUACCAAGACCUAUCAAACUCUGAAUGCCGGAUAAUUGAUGCAUAGCAGUCAGACAGCGUGAGAUAAGUUUCGUUGUCAAAAGGGAAACAGCCCAGACCCACAGCUAAGGUCCCAAAUUCAUGCUAAGUGGAAAACGAUGUGGAAUUGCGAAAACAACCAGGAUGUUGGCUUAGAAGCAGCCACUCAUUAAAAGAGUGCGUAAUAGCUCACUGGUCGAGUGACUCUGCGCGGAAAAUAUAACGGGGCUAAGCAUGAAACCGAAGCUUGGGCUUGUCGUAAGACAGGGGUAGGGGAGCGUCGAGUAUGGGGUGAAGUCAGAGCGGAAGCACUGGUGGACUGUACUGGAGUGAGAAUGCCGGAAUGAGUAGCGAGAAUUAUGUGGGAAUCAUAAUGGCCGAAAAUCUAAGGUUUCUUGGGGAAGGUUCGUCCGCCCAAGGUAAGUCGGGAGCUAAGCUCAGGCCGAGAGGCGUAGGCGAUGCACAUACGGUAGAAAUUCCGUAACCACCGAAACUUAAACAGAGGGACACUUCGAAAUAGCGGAACCCGGGCGUUGGUUGACCCGGGCGAAAGGGAGCGAAAUUAGAGUAGCGAAGUCCGCGAUGUUCGGAGGCGAGAAAAGCUCUGAGGUAUGCUAAGGUGCCCGUACCGCAAACCGACACAGGUAGAUGAGGAGAGAAUCCUAAGGCCAACGGGAGAAGGGUUGUUAAGGAACUCGGCAAAUUGACCCCGUAACUUCGGAAGAAGGGGAGCCCCCUACGGGGGGUCGCAGAGAAAUGGCCCAAGCAACUGUUUACCAAAAACACAGGUCUAUGCUAAAUCGAAAGAUGACGUAUAUGGGCUGACGCCUGCCCGGUGCCGGAAGGUUAAGAGGAGAUGUCAGGCAACGAAGCAUUGAAUUUAAGCCCCGGUAAACGGCGGCCGUAACUAUAACGGUCCUAAGGUAGCGAAAUUCCUUGUCAGGUAAGUUCUGACCCGC
RNAcentral lists this ribosomal RNA (1399 nucleotides) under human gut metagenome. RNAcentral's name for it is "bacterial LSU rRNA". It matches the Rfam family "Bacterial large subunit ribosomal RNA", at positions 510 to 1991 of the family's 2925-position model. The record is from RNAcentral.